This 404-nucleotide ribosomal RNA is filed under the name Cereus pedunculatus. RNAcentral's name for it is "SSU rRNA". It matches the Rfam family "Eukaryotic small subunit ribosomal RNA", at positions 66 to 467 of the family's 1831-position model. The record is from RNAcentral. Lineage: Eukaryota; Metazoa; Cnidaria; Anthozoa; Actiniaria; Sagartiidae.
UAAGCACUUGUACUGUGAAACUGCGAAUGGCUCAUUAAAUCAGUUAUCGUUUAUUUGAUUGUACCCUUUACUACUUGGAUAACCGUGGUAAUUCUAGAGCUAAUACAUGCGAAAAGUCCCGACUUCUGGAAGGGAUGUAUUUAUUAGAUUCAAAACCAAUGCGGGUUCUGCCCGGUCCUUUGGUGAUUCAUAAUAACUGUUCGAAUCGCACGGCCUUGCGCUGGCGAUGUUUCAUUCAAAUUUCUGCCCUAUCAACUGUCGAUGGUAAGGUAUUGGCUUACCAUGGUUACAACGGGUGACGGAGAAUUAGGGUUCGAUUCCGGAGAGGGAGCCUGAGAAACGGCUACCACAUCCAAGGAAGGCAGCAGGCGCGCAAAUUACCCAAUCCUGACUCAGGGAGGUAG